Molecule: ribosomal RNA, 429 nt
Filed under: Bacteroidota bacterium
Lineage: Bacteria; Pseudomonadati; Bacteroidota
Description: Bacteroidetes bacterium partial 16S ribosomal RNA
Rfam family: Bacterial small subunit ribosomal RNA
Source: RNAcentral
UAGGGAAUCUUCCGCAAUGGCCGCAAGUCUGACGGAGCAACGCCGCGUGAGUGAAGAAGGAUUUCGGUUCGUAAAACUCUGUUGUUAGAGAAGAACAGCGCAUAGAGUAACUGUUAUGCGUGUGACGGUAUCUAACCAGAAAGCCACGGCUAACUACGUGCCAGCAGCCGCGGUAUUACGUAGGUGGCAAGCGUUGUCCGGAUUUAUUGGGCGUAAAGCGAGCGCAGGCGGUCAAUUAAGUCUGAUGUGAAAGCCCCCGGCUCAACCGGGGAGGGUCAUUGGAAACUGGUUGACUUGAGUGCAGAAGAGGAGAGUGGAAUUCCAUGUGUAGCGGUGAAAUGCGUAGAUAUAUGGAGGAACACCAGUGGCGAAGGCGACUCUCUGGUCUGUAACUGACGCUGAGGUUCGAAAGCGUGGGUAGCAAACAGG